AGGUGCUUAUCGUGCCAUCCGUACCAUAAUGUCGAGAAAAGAGACGGAGUCAUUCUCCUCCAUCUCAAAGAAUUGGCGCAGUCGGUAGGAUUGUUUCCGUUGAUACGUGCUUUUCACUAUGGACAAGAAACCCUUCAACGUGGAGUCUCAACCCCUUCAGACACAGUCCAAAUAGAAGAACCGUGUGGUCUAGACGUGGUGUAUGGGCACAGUAAUAGAAGAAUUGAGAAAGCACUUCUUAAAGCCUGAGGAUAAGCUUUUACAGGAUGGCCGAAUGUAAGAGAUAAGGCAGCAUCACAGUAGGAACGCUGCGGUAAUGCAUUGGUACGACAACACAUAGGUUUAAAUAGGAGGUGAUACACGAUGCGUUAGCACCGCAUCGACGGAAGAGAAACGCAGCUUGCUGCGUACAACGGACGACGAACGACGGGAUGGUUGUAACGCGCGUUUUUAUUAAUGUUCACCUAAAUUAUUACAUUAAAUAUCUUGCUUU
Anthonomus grandis grandis is the source of this 493-nucleotide long non-coding RNA. RefSeq lists it as uncharacterized. NCBI's taxonomy places the organism in Eukaryota, Metazoa, Arthropoda, Insecta, Coleoptera, Curculionidae. The record is from RefSeq and is a predicted model, not a curated record. The transcript has 3 exons.